AUAAUUCUUAACGGUUAAUCCGAUAAAAAUAUAUAGAAGUGUUUCAGAAUAGACUUUUCUUUAAUAUCAGCCGCCUAUAUUUCUGACUAGCAUUUUAACCAAUUAGGU
RNAcentral lists this small RNA (108 nucleotides) under Arabidopsis thaliana (thale cress). RNAcentral's name for it is "ATSL078240". The record is from RNAcentral. Lineage: Eukaryota; Viridiplantae; Streptophyta; Magnoliopsida; Brassicales; Brassicaceae.